Acanthosepion pharaonis is the source of this 96-nucleotide non-coding RNA. The record is from the annotation of a GenBank genome assembly. Lineage: Eukaryota; Metazoa; Mollusca; Cephalopoda; Sepiida; Sepiidae.
GGCCAUAUUACGUUGAAACACCGGCUCACUUGCGAUCACCGAACUUAAGCAACGUUGGGCCUGGUUAGUACUUUUGACCGCUUGGGAACACCAGGA